AAAGAGGCCGCCCUCAUUGCAGUCAGCUGAGCUGGGCGAGCUGCGGCUUCGCUCCGGUCCACGCCUCCUUCCCUCGGGCACCUCCGUGACUGCUGAAGGCGGGAGGGAUGGAGGUAACGCUUCGCCGAGCGGCUGGAAGGGGCCGGGCGGGUCUCUGAGGGCCGCCCCUCAGGUAAAGCUGCAGAGAAACCCCACCGGACCGAGGAUCCUAUCAUUCUAUUUGACCAAAGCCCGGUUUCCUCUUGUUCCACACCUUCUCUUGCCUUAAAAUGUUAAUAACCACUUAACUCUGGCCUGUGGUUUCUUGAUUGCACCCACCUGCAGGGCCUGUGUGAUGUGUGAGGGAGAGACGCGACGAGAAAUGGAUUUUGCUGGUGGAAUUGGCAGCUGGGGGCAGGUAGUAAACCAGUGCUGGAGUGCUCUGGUAAAGGAGAUGUCUGGUCCAGGGCCUGCAGUUCCAUUUAAGCUGUGCUGCUGUGGGAUGUGGCUCUGUUGGUGAGGAUUCUCUACUUUACCCAAGCAGGGAUAGCUCUCUGCUUCACCUGGACUUGUGCUAUGAUAAUUUCUUGGGAAACUCUCAGCAGCCAGUGAAACAGCCCUCCUAGUGUUCGUUCUUCCUACAGCCAGCAGGGAGGUGGGCUGCCUGCCUUUUCUCCUACUCACUGUUCCCACAGGUGAAUCUUCAUGGCUUGUGCUGAUUCAGGGCUGGCACCAAGCAUAGCAAGUUGCUGUUUGACUGAAGUCUCCACAUCAUAACAGUUCUGCUUUGGGAAAAGCCUGAAAUCAGCGUUGAGGGCCUGGUGAGAAUGCAGUUGCAAGUAGGAUUCUUUCUCCUUCCCCAAAGGGGAAAUGCCCUCAGGGUUAGAUGUUGCUCAAGGAUGCUGCAGUGAACAGGCCCUGAGGGAGAAGCGAAACUAAGCAUGGACAGGAGCACUGAUGUCUUGCUGUAACCCAAGCAGUUACUUUUUGGACUGAUACUUUAGCUUUAGGUAUUGUGCUACGUCUUGCAGGAUUCAGGAUCCUCUCAAGCAAUGGGAAAGGAAGCAAAAGGGAAACAAAGGGCUUUUCAUGCCAGCUCUUGUUAUAGGAAGCCCUAUGCUCGAAGGGAACCACCCCCUUGAGUGUUGGGCUUUGACACUGUAUCAGCACAGAGAAGAUCAGACAGGAAAUUCCUGUUCCCACUCUCCCUUCUCCUUUGCUAGCUCAGUGUAAGGCCACAGUUAAAGAUUAUCUGUCUCCAAAUAAUGCAGAGUUAACACCACCAGCAUCUCUCUUCAUACCCUUGGUUAGACCUUGAGAGCAGCAGGAUGCAGGCAGAGUAAACUCCUGAUUCCACACAGGACUACUUAAAAAUUAAACCAUAUGUCUAAGCUUGCUGUCCAGACACUUGGUGCUAUGACUGCUACGUAAGCUUUCAGGCUUGUGAUGAAGUAAUUAAGUGUGAGUAUCACCUUACCAGGCUGUGGAGACAUGUUCUUUUGUUAAGGACACCUCUACUCUGGUCAGCAUCAACUUCCUACCAGAGCUAUAUGAGUGCAGGUCCAUUAUAUGUUGGCUGGUGAGGAAAAAAGUAGCUAAAUUGUGGUCCUUUCCACUCACAUCCAAUAUUACAGCCCAGCUGCUUGUGUAAAAACACCUACGGGUUUGAAAAUUACCCAUUAAAAGCUGUGUUUGAGAAGAAGCAAUUGCUUCAAUAGAGCAAUAUUUACUAGCUUUGCAGAAGGAGCACAGUGAGACUCACCCCUAUGAAAAUCAUGUUGUGUUAAUGUCUCUGGGGUGGGCUUACUUUAUUCAGGCUUAACCUUUGUUAACCUUUGCUUUCUUCCUGUCCUUGCAUCUGCUGUGUAUUUUUAACCUACCGCUUCAGUAGCAUCCUGCACACAUUCUUCCCUAGCCUCCUCCUGCCCUUCCUGCCUCACUUUGUCUACCAGCCUGGGGUACAGGAGCAUUGCAGCUGGCAUCUCACACUGUUAACAUUCUGCCCUGCCCUCCAGCAGCUGGGAUGCACUGUCCCAGGCUUAGGCCCAGUUAUGGCCAGUUAUGAGAUCAGGGGUAACUCACUGCAAGUUUCUGAUGCAGUCCAGAUCAGCACUGUAUGCAGAUCUAGUGUAGGGAAUCUCAAAUGCUGUUUUCACAGCAGCAAUAGAACUAAGCCUCAGAGGGGACCCUCUGCCCCCUGUGCUGCCUAGUGUCAUGCAAGGAAUAAUUAAACUAGCUGAGCUCUAGCUUGACUUAGGCAAUUAUUCACUUCCUACCUACUUCCACAAGAGCUUCCCCCCAUUCUCUGCAUUUUGGGACAGGCUUUUUUUGCUUGAUCCACAGUACAAAAGAAGCAAUAAGGAAACUCCUCCCUAUUCCUUGUUCUAACCACUUCAGACAUGCUGCCAGUUUGCUGCAGGGUACAAAUUAUCAUAAACUCAGGGAGCUCCCUUACCUAGAGAGGUUUCAGCAGUUCUGGUAUACUAGCAACUAUCAGGGUAGAUGCCCAUUCCUCUGCAACAAGCAUUCUGCAAAGUACAACUGCUCCAGAGCACCUGUCUGUGUGGUUUCUUUUGCUCUCCUCUCAACUCAGGUAAGCUAGUUGUCUGUUAAAUAGGAAGAGAGGGGGUGAACACAAAGGAAAUCAAACAGUUUCCUGUUUGUUUAUCAUGAACAAAAGCUUGUUUGGCUGGUCUGCAUGUUGCUAGCAGGCUAGCCCAGCUGCUGUGGUUAGUGCAAAACUGAGCUCUUCCACUAGCAUGAAAGGAAGUAGUAAAGCCAAGUCUCCAGGGGAUAGGAGAGAAGAAUCUCCCCCCACACCCUUUGGAAGUUUGCAGACAAGGCAGAGCAGGGUGGGCUGGGAGAUUUCACUGUGGAUUGUAAGGCUUUGAUGUGUGAAGGUAGCAACCAAAUGCUGCUCUUUGGUCUAAAGCAGGAGAUGCAUUCUGGCACCUCUGCCAGCACAGAAGGUUGCAUGCAGGGCCCUUCAACAACCCCAGCAGGUCUCUCAUGUUGCUCACAAACAGCAGACCUUAUCCAAAGCUAUCAGUCCCCAUAGCUUAGUUUUUGGGCUGCUUUCAGAUCAUUACCAGUGAUGAGUCUGUGGUGCCAUCACUGUAAUUGCUGUGGUGCCAAGUAACUAUAGGGCUUUAGACUGAAGAAAUGCCAAUCUUUUACCAACGCUGGGAUCUUCCAGUAUGAAUUGGACAUACUAGCUGUCUGGAUCCAAAGUCUCAAUUCUAUUUCCUUAUAUCAAGCUAAACAACUUCAACCCUUUAUUACUUCUGCCCAUCCUGUUAGUACCAAGCUAGGGAGGACUUUUAGGAUCAAAAGGAGCACAGGAGGAACAGUAGAAGGGCUGCAAGGAAACAACAAAGCAAAACCACCAUGGGACCAAGGUUAGAAGAUGACAGGCAUUUGCACAGUUCAGUAUUUUCUGUAGUUUAAAGGGGAUAAAACCUGGAGAUGGGACCAGAGAUGCUCAGUACAGUUGAACGGUCAUCAGUUUUACUACUACAGCCUGACACAGGGAAUAAAUACUUUUACCUGCUUUCCAGAACAGCACUGCCCCUCAGACAGCUUUUAUAUAUAGCUUUUUUUCUUCCCUUGUCUGGGCAGCGUAUCUCCAGACAGGCUGAAGCACAUCUUGGUCCUCACCGCCCUCCACGUGCAGAUAGCAGAACAGCUGCUGCCACCAUCUGGUGGGAGAGCAGCAUAGCUGCCGACUCAAUCCCCUCUUCAGUUUGCAUUCGUUUUGCUUUCUGAAAAAGAUAAGCUCACGUGCCCUUCUGAGCACUCUUUUUUAGAGUGACUGUCACAUCCACUGACCUUGGUGAAAGAACUAAAGCUACACAACAGGAGAAGUGGCAGGGAGUAAAUCAGGACUUCUGCAGAAGUAUCUUUUCCUCCAUGCCUGAAAUCCACCCACUGCGUUAAGUGAACUUCUGCUUUGUCACCCCCCAGACACAAUCCACUGUCCCUCCAGCUGUCACUGUCAUGAUUCACCAAGCAAGGCCACUACACAGCCCAGGUGUCUCUUGCUCUUAACUAACACCUGAAAAAACAUUGGCUUGACUGAAGAGCGAGUUCUCAGCUUCUGUUCCACAGUCCAAGGAUCUGCAACUUUGUAACAGCCCACAUUUAGUCAGCCCAAAGGCACUGAACAUUGCAGCAACACCUGAUACAAGCACUGUGGUGUUCUGAGUGUCACUGGGCCACUUAAUUGUGCCCAGAAACAAACAGAAGAAAACUCCUUUACUCAAGCUUCCUGAAAAGUUGGCAUUCUCAAACCUAGCUUAAUUAAUGGUCAAUGAAGCCACUACUCUGACAAUACAUGGGAGGCACACUGGUCUGUUCUGAAGCUUGUUCAGUUUUAUUUAUGAAUCCUCUAUCAGUUGAAUUUUCAUUUUCUCUGCUUUACCCAAUCAGGAAAAUGCAAGGAUUUUUCUGCAAAGAGCUGAUCUGGCAGGUAAAGGUGAUCAGGGUAGCUGUGGCUGCAGAGCCAGGUUCACUGUGGCAACUGGAGGAGUACAGACUGUCCAGAGGGCAAGUAGGUAAUGUUGCGAGACCUUGAGAGCUGGUAAGCAAUAUCUUCAGCUGCCUCCAGCUUGCGUAGCUCAAUUAGGCCAUCACCUGCAGUGGCUAGUGAGUUGGCAAUCAGCUCAGCUGCUUUGGAGUCUCCCUCAGCUGAGAUGACAGCUGCUUUCUUUUGCUGCUCAGCCUGCAAGGGAACAGAUGAGAAGGAAACUGAGCAGAAAAGGAAACAGAAGAUACUACUGUCAAGUUUAAAGUAUAAAUUUCCCCUUCACCAGCCUAUUUUUCUAUCCUCCAGAAGACUUAAGAGAGCUAAAACAGGUGGUUGUAUUUUAAAGCUGUAUAUAUAUAUGCACACUUUUUUUUUUUUUGCCUACUGUGGAGGAUAGGUUUAAGACAAUCUCAAGUUGAUUUUUAUCUUAACCUCCUGGAACAGCAACUCACCUAAGGGCACUCUUGGUGGAUAGCUAAGAAGAUUUGAGAACUGUGAACUAUAUUAGCAUUAUGGAAAUAUUCACCAUGAGAUGAAAUGACAGAGAUAGCAGGACUGUUUUCAAGCCAAAGUUUCUCAGAAGGAUAAAGUACCUUUUCCACAAUGAACCUGGCUCGCUCUGCUUCUUGCUGGGCCACUUGCUUCAUUUCAACUGCUUCAGUGAAUUCCUUGCCAAAGGUCAGAUGGGUCUGCAGGGCAGAAAUCACAGUUCACAACAGCAUUUACAGCGACACUGCUAUCAACCUCUAAGGCAGGAGGCAUCCUGCCUUUAUCAGAGAAGAUGGAAAGCCAAUAUCACUAAAAAAAAAAAUUAAAAAUGCAGUGUAACAGAAGCUAAGCCUAGCAAGCUUUCCCUUCUUUUAAAAAAAAGACUCAAAGAUGUGUCGUAAACACAUAUUUCAUAAACACAAUUUCAAUCCAGUAGGUGGGUCAACACAAAUAUCUUGAGACACAUACCAUGCUCUCCUACCAUUUCUUGCUUACAGAUUAGGAGCCUGCAGUCUGCCAAGCAACCCUGUUCUCUUCAUGCUCAACUAUGCACUGUUGUGCCCUCCCUGAGCUGUUCUGUACACAUACAGACUACUGGGAUGCUACAAGGGAAGUGUGAGUUUCCUUAAGUAGUGUAUUCAGAAAAAAAA
Meleagris gallopavo (turkey) is the source of this 5643-nucleotide non-coding RNA. Lineage: Eukaryota; Metazoa; Chordata; Aves; Galliformes; Phasianidae. The record is from RefSeq and is a predicted model, not a curated record.